Molecule: ribosomal RNA, 301 nt
Filed under: uncultured bacterium
Lineage: Bacteria
Description: partial 16S ribosomal RNA
Rfam family: Bacterial small subunit ribosomal RNA
Source: RNAcentral
CAGCAGCCGCGGGAAUACGAAGGGUGCAAGCGUUACUCGCAAUUACUGGGCGUAAAGCGUGCGUAGGUGGUGGUUUAAGUCCGUUGUGAAAGCCCUGGGCUCAACCUGGGAAUUGCAGUGGAUACUGGGUCACUAGAGUGUUGUAGAGGAUAGUGGAAUUUCCGGUGUAGCAGUGAAAUGCGUAGAGAUCGGAAGGAACAUCUGUGGCGAAGGCGACUAUCUGGGCCAACACUGACACUGAGGCACGAAAGCGUGGGGAGCAAACAGGAUUAGAUACCCCAGUAGUCCCUGUCUCUUAUAC